Molecule: ribosomal RNA, 476 nt
Filed under: Cribrostomoides sp. PS171
Lineage: Eukaryota; Foraminifera; Textulariida; Trochamminidae
Description: partial 18S ribosomal RNA
Rfam family: Eukaryotic small subunit ribosomal RNA (bases 1-273)
Source: RNAcentral
CGCACGUUGACCCCUUUCUUUAAUUAGAGAGCGCGUGUCUUAGUUUUCGCUUUGCUCAUACAAUUAGGUCCUAGAAAGCAACGAACGUGACCGCAACCUCUUGUUGCCUUUAUACCAAACAUAGUUUUGCGUCAAUUUUCGAAUUGCGCGCAUUUCAUGAAAAAAGGCUUUUUAAACUAGAGGGACCGCUGUUACUUUCUUAAAACCARAGGAAGGUUGCGGCAAUAACAGGUCUGUGAUGCCCUUAGAUGUUCCGGGCUGCACACGUGCUACAAUGAUUAUUGCAGUGAGCAUCUCAUUUUUACACACCGCAUGCGCGAGUCCAUUUAUUCACCUUCGGGUGUUUUAAAUGUGUAUCUCUGCGCGCGGUAAAGCCUGCUUCGGACAGUAAGUGGGUAAUCAAUUAGAAGUAAUGAUUUCCUUUUUUUUAGCACACAUAUAUACGGCGUCUAUGCCCGGGUUACCUUGUUGAGUUU